AGGGAAGGCAUACAUGGCGUGAUAUUGAUUUGGUUCAUCUUAAUUUGUUGAAAACAUCAACGUAUAGACGAGCCGAAUCAAUAUCACUCUUGUAUGUUUUUCU
RNAcentral lists this microRNA precursor (103 nucleotides) under Thalictrum thalictroides. Lineage: Eukaryota; Viridiplantae; Streptophyta; Magnoliopsida; Ranunculales; Ranunculaceae. The record is from RNAcentral.